RNAcentral lists this ribosomal RNA (468 nucleotides) under uncultured organism. RNAcentral describes it as "partial 16S ribosomal RNA". It matches the Rfam family "Bacterial small subunit ribosomal RNA", at positions 335 to 799 of the family's 1533-position model. The record is from RNAcentral.
ACUCCUACGGGAGGCAGCAGUGAGGAAUAUUGGACAAUGGGUGGAAGCCUGAUCCAGCCAUCCCGCGUGCAGGAAGACGGCCCUAUGGGUUGUAAACUGCUUUUAUCUGGGGAUAAACCUACUUACGUGUAAGUAGCUGAAGGUACCAGAAGAAUAAGCACCGGCUAACUCCGUGCCAGCAGCCGCGGUAAUACGGAGGGUGCAAGCGUUAUCCGGAUUUAUUGGGUUUAAAGGGUCCGUAGGCGGACUGAUAAGUCAGUGGUGAAAUCCGACAGCUUAACUGUCGAACUGCCAUUGAUACUGUUAGUCUUGAGUAAGGUUGAAGUGGCUGGAAUAAGUAGUGUAGCGGUGAAAUGCAUAGAUAUUACUUAGAACACCAAUUGCGAAGGCAGGUCACUAAGUCUUAACUGACGCUGAUGGACGAAAGCGUGGGGAGCGAACAGGAUUAGAAACCCCAGUAGUCCCAUG